GCCUCGGUAGCUCAGCGGUUAGAGUUGACCGCUCAUAACGGUUAGGUCGCAGGUUCGAAUCCUGCCCGAGGCACCA
RNAcentral lists this transfer RNA (76 nucleotides) under Primorskyibacter flagellatus. RNAcentral describes it as "tRNA-Met". It matches the Rfam family "tRNA". Rfam says of the family: Transfer RNA (tRNA) molecules are approximately 80 nucleotides in length. Their secondary structure includes four short double-helical elements and three loops (D, anti-codon, and T loops). The record is from RNAcentral. RNAcentral also lists the same sequence under 2 other names. Lineage: Bacteria; Pseudomonadati; Pseudomonadota; Alphaproteobacteria; Rhodobacterales; Roseobacteraceae.